Molecule: ribosomal RNA, 492 nt
Filed under: uncultured bacterium
Lineage: Bacteria
Description: partial 16S ribosomal RNA
Rfam family: Bacterial small subunit ribosomal RNA
Source: RNAcentral
AGUGAACGCUGGCGGUAGGCCUAACACAUGCAAGUCGAACGGCAGCACAGUAAGAGCUUGCUCUUACGGGUGGCGAGUGGCGGACGGGUGAGGAAUACAUCGGAAUCUACUUUUUCGUGGGGGAUAACGUAGGGAAACUUACGCUAAUACCGCAUACGACCUACGGGUGAAAGCAGGGGAUCUUCGGACCUUGCGCGAUUGAAUGAGCCGAUGUCGGAUUAGCUAGUUGGCGGGGUAAAGGCCCACCAAGGCGACGAUCCGUAGCUGGUCUGAGAGGAUGAUCGGCCACACUGGAACUGAGACACGGUCCAGACUCCUACGGGAGGCAGCAGUGGGGAAUAUUGGACAAUGGGCGCAAGCCUGAUCCAGCCAUACCGCGUGGGUGAAGAAGGCCUUCGGGUUGUAAAGCCCUUUUGUUGGAAAAGAAAAGCAGCAGGUUAAUACCCCGCUGUUCUGACGGUACCCAAAGAAUAAGCACCGGCUAACUUCGUG